GACGAACGCUGGCGGCGUGCUUAACACAUGCAAGUCGAACGGAAAGGCCCUGCUUUUGUGGGGUGCUCGAGUGGCGAACGGGUGAGUAACACGUGAGUAACCUGCCCUUGACUUUGGGAUAACUUCAGGCAACUGGGGCUAAUACCGGAUAGGAGCUCCUGCUGCAUGGUGGGGGUUGGAAAGUUUCGGCGGUGGGGGAUGGACUCGCGGCUUAUCAGCUUGUUGGUGGGGUAGUGGCUUACCAAGGCUUUGACGGGUAGCCGGCCUGAGAGGGUGACCGGCCACAUUGGGACUGAGAUACGGCACAGACUCCUACGGGAGGCAGCAGUGGGGAAUAUUGCACAAUGGGCGGAAGCCUGAUGCAGCAACGCCGCGUGCGGGAUGACGGCCUUCGGGUUGUAAACCGCUUUCGCCUGUGACGAAGCGUGAGUGACGGUAAUGGGUAAAGAAGCACCGGCUAACUACGUG
Molecule: ribosomal RNA, 468 nt
Filed under: uncultured bacterium
Lineage: Bacteria
Description: partial 16S ribosomal RNA
Rfam family: Bacterial small subunit ribosomal RNA
Source: RNAcentral